UGAGGAAUAUUGGUCAAUGGGCGAGAGCCUGAACCAGCCAAGUAGCGUGCAGGACGACGGCCCUAUGGGUUGUAAACUGCUUUUAUAAGGGAAUAAAGUGGGUCACGUGUGACUUUUUGCAUGUACCUUAUGAAUAAGGACCGGCUAAUUCCGUGCCAGCAGCCGCGGUAAUACGGAAGGUCCAGGCGUUAUCCGGAUUUAUUGGGUUUAAAGGGAGCGUAGGCCGCCCCUUAAGCGUGCUGUGAAAUGCCGCGGCUCGACCGUGGCACUGCAGCGCGAACUGGGGGGCUUGAGUGCACGCAACGCAGGCGGAAUUCGUGGUGUAGCGGUGAAAUGCUUAGAUAUCACGAAGAACUCCGAUUGCGAAGGCAGCUUGCGGGAGUGCGACUGACGCUGAAGCUCGAAGGUGCGGGUAUCGAACAGGAUUAGAUACCCUGGUAGU
Molecule: ribosomal RNA, 442 nt
Filed under: uncultured Prevotella sp.
Lineage: Bacteria; Pseudomonadati; Bacteroidota; Bacteroidia; Bacteroidales; Prevotellaceae
Description: bacterial SSU rRNA
Rfam family: Bacterial small subunit ribosomal RNA
Source: RNAcentral